CCCCUCUGCACGCUGCCUCCCAGCCGUUCUCUGAGACUGGGCGGAUCUCCCAUCAGCCCGCCAGCUCCUACCCAGAAUCCUCCAGGUCUGCAGAUGGACAGACAGAGGGACACAACGGCGGUGUCUCCAUGGAAAGCUCCUCCUCCAUCAGUCCUACUCCUCCAGGCUCCGCCCC
Molecule: non-coding RNA, 175 nt
Organism: Maylandia zebra (zebra mbuna)
Lineage: Eukaryota; Metazoa; Chordata; Actinopteri; Cichliformes; Cichlidae
Source: RefSeq, a predicted model, not a curated record